AUAUUAAAUGAUGGUUAAAAUAUGUAAUAAAAGUAGAGGAAUUAAAACUUAAUUUUGUGAAUAGUACAAAUACUUAUAAUAUAUUUUAACAACAAAAUUAUUCAUUUAACCCACAAUACGAGAAAAAAUACUAAUAGAAUAAUAAAAUGAAUGUCGAUACCCAUAAAAGUAAAGGUCAAAUGUUGGAUAUAUCUGUAAACGGGCCAAUUAUCCCGGGCCCACGUCAAGAACCAAAGUCCAAAAUAAAAAACAAAAAAAUAAACAAAAACCAAACCAAAAUUAAAAUGCCCAAUUUUAAAGCAGUCCAAAACCCAAAUAACCCCAAGUACAAUGGCCCAAUACCCUACAGCCCAAAAACAAAAAUCAAGGCAGAAACCUUAGGUUUUUUUGCCUCUUGCACAACAGCCCCAGCCUCCGUACCCUCCACCAGCACACAGCCCUCGUACGCCACGCCCGCACCUCCGUACGAUGCCAGCGGACUCCGUACUUGCAAGCAAAUACGAAAACACCAGCACAGCAAAGAGAAAGAAAAAAUGACAAGAAACUUGUAUUUUCUUUUUCAUUUUUUCUCUAUUUCCGGCUAUAAAAGCCAUGUAAUAACCGUUGUAUUUUUUUUUACGAACACUGAGACACAUAGAAUAGAAAAAAGCAAUCAAGAUAGUAAAGGUGAUUUUAAAGUUCUUUUUUUCUCUCUGUCGAUUUAUCUUCCUUUUGAAUGAUUUAAAUUUUUUUUAUACGUAAAUCGACACCGAUGAGAAGCCCAAAUACCUCAUGAUGCAGAGGUAAGGGCGAGGGGUCGAACAAUGUGGAGAUUUCCUUGCUCUAUGAAACCUUCUUUUUACUUGAAAAAAAAAUAAACAAGGAUUUAAAGUUUUUUUAAAAAAAAUGAAGAAGAAAAAUAACAAGGAAGCUUACCGGAUCUCUGCGAGCGUGCACCAGGUCAGGCCAUCACCUAAGAACGGUCGGUCACCAAAUAAAUGGUGGUUCAGCAGCCUCAUGCCAAAUGAAACCCUAACAAAUUGGGUUAAUGGCCUUUGUUUUAAUGGUGGGCUACAUUUUAAGAAGGAAAUAAUGGGGGGAUCAAUAAAGGACGAAACGGCGUCGUUGCAAAGGGGGAGGGUCCGCGCGUCAACCGGCUCCAAGACCCAAACCUACGCCCUUGUGCUGCAAAUAGGUUAUUUGCAAGAUUGGUCCUCCCCUUUUUCGUACACAUUCAAUCGCGCCUUAUCCGUUUUGUUUUGUUUUGUUUUUAAAUUAGCUUGUUAAUUUGUGCGUG
RNAcentral lists this long non-coding RNA (1276 nucleotides) under Gossypium barbadense (sea-island cotton). RNAcentral describes it as "long non-coding RNA (GBAR_LNC012605)". The record is from RNAcentral. Lineage: Eukaryota; Viridiplantae; Streptophyta; Magnoliopsida; Malvales; Malvaceae.